UCGAGCGGUAAGGCCCUUCGGGGUACACGAGCGGCGAACGGGGAGUAACACGUGGGUGAUCUGCCUCGCACUCUGGGAUAAGCCUGGGAAACUGGGUCUAAACCGGAUAUGACCACGAUCGCAUGGUUUGUGGUGGAAAGGUUUACUGGUGCGAGAUGGGCCCGCGGCCUAUCAGCUUGUUGGUGGGGUAACGGCCUACCAAGGCGACGACGGGUAGCCGGCCUGAGAGGGCGACCGGCCACACUGGGACUGAGACACGGCCCAGACUCCUACGGGAGGCAGCAGUGGGGAAUAUUGCACAAUGGGCGAAAGCCUGAUGCAGCGACGCCGCGUGAGGGAUGACGGCCUUCGGGUUGUAAACCUCUUUCGACAGGGACGAAGCGCAAGUGACGGUACCUGUAGAAGAAGCACCGGCCAACUACGUGCCAGCAGCCGCGGUAAUACGUAGGGUGCGGCGUUGUCCGGAAUUACUGGGCGUAAAGAGCUUGUAGGCGGUCUGUCGCGUCGAUCGUGAAAACGUGCAGCUCAACUGCGCGCCUGCGGUCGAUACGGGCAGACUAGAGUACUUCAGGGGAGACUGGAAUUCCUGGUGUAGCGGUGAAAUGCGCAGAUAUCAGGAGGAACACCGGUGGCGAAGGCGGGUCUCUGGGAAGUAACUGACGCUGAGAAGCGAAAGCGUGGGUAGCGAACAGGAUUAGAUACCCUGGUAGUCCACGCCGUAAACGGUGGGUACUAGGUGUGGGUUUCCUUCCACGGGAUCCGUGCCGUAGCUAACGCAUUAAGUACCCCGCCUGGGGAGUACGGCCGCAAGGCUAAAACUCAAAGGAAUUGACGGGGGCCCGCACAAGCGGCGGAGCAUGUGGAUUAAUUCGAUGCAACGCGAAGAACCUUACCUGGGUUUGACAUACACCGGAAAGCCGUAGAGAUACGGCCCCCCUUGUGGUCGGUGUACAGGUGGUGCAUGGCUGUCGUCAGCUCGUGUCGUGAGAUGUUGGGUUAAGUCCCGCAACGAGCGCAACCCUUAUCUUAUGUUGCCAGCGCGUAAUGGCGGGGACUCGUGAGAGACUGCCGGGGUCAACUCGGAGGAAGGUGGGGACGACGUCAAGUCAUCAUGCCCCUUAUGUCCAGGGCUUCACACAUGCUACAAUGGCCGGUACAGAGGGCUGCGAUACCGCGAGGUGGAGCGAAUCCCUUAAAGCCGGUCUCAGUUCGGAUCGGGGUCUGCAACUCGACCCCGUGAAGUUGGAGUCGCUAGUAAUCGCAGAUCAGCAACGCUGCGGUGAAUACGUUCCCGGGCCUUGUACACACCGCCCGUCACGUCAUGAAAGUCGGUAACACCCGAAGCCGGUGGCCUAACCCUCUGGGAGGGAGCCGUCGAAGGUGGGAUUGGCGAUUGGGACG
Molecule: ribosomal RNA, 1401 nt
Filed under: Nocardia otitidiscaviarum
Lineage: Bacteria; Bacillati; Actinomycetota; Actinomycetes; Mycobacteriales; Nocardiaceae
Description: bacterial SSU rRNA
Rfam family: Bacterial small subunit ribosomal RNA
Source: RNAcentral